UUAUUACUCCUUCGUCCUAAAAUUCUUGUCUUAGAUUUUUCUAGAUAUGAAUGUAUCUAAUAUUAAAACAUGACUUGAUACAUUUGUAUUUAGACAAAUCUAAAACAAGAAUUUUGGGACAGAGAGAGUACGUG
Non-coding RNA from Triticum aestivum (bread wheat), 134 nucleotides. NCBI's taxonomy places the organism in Eukaryota, Viridiplantae, Streptophyta, Magnoliopsida, Poales, Poaceae. The record is from Rfam.